RNAcentral lists this ribosomal RNA (137 nucleotides) under uncultured bacterium. Its description in RNAcentral is "partial 16S ribosomal RNA". It matches the Rfam family "Bacterial small subunit ribosomal RNA", at positions 1364 to 1500 of the family's 1533-position model. The record is from RNAcentral.
GAAUACGUUCCCGGGUCUUGUACACACCGCCCGUCACACCAUGGGAGCCAGGAAUGCCCGAAGCCAGUGGCCUAACCGCAAGGGAGGAGCUGUCGAAGGCAGGCCCGGUAACUGGGGUGAAGUCGUAACAAGGUAGC